AGCAGCCGCCACGGGAAAACCAGCACCUCGAGUGGUCAGGAGGUUUAUUGGGCCUAAAGCAUCCGUAGCCGGUUGCAUAAGUUUUCGGUUAAAUCUAUGCGCUUAACGUAUAGGCCGCCGAAAAUACUGUGCAGCUAUGGAGUGGGAGAGGUACACGGUACUCGAUAGGAAGGGGUAAAAUCCUUUGAUCUAUUGAUGACCACCUGUGGCGAAGGCGGUGUACCAGAACACGUUCGACGGUGAGGGAUGAAAGCUGGGGGAGCAAACCGGAUUAGAUACCCCCGUAGUCCCUGUCUCUUAUAC
Molecule: ribosomal RNA, 303 nt
Filed under: uncultured bacterium
Lineage: Bacteria
Description: partial 16S ribosomal RNA
Rfam family: Archaeal small subunit ribosomal RNA
Source: RNAcentral